UUGGAGGGCAAGUCUGGUGCCAGCAGCCGCGGUAAUUCCAGCUCCAAUAGCGUAUAUUAAAGUUGUUGCAGUUAAAAAGCUCGUAGUUGAAUUUCGGGAUUCAUCCGUUGGUCGGGCUUCACGGUCCGUACUGGUGUGAUGGGUUCCUACCUUCUGAAUAACCGGCAUGCCAUUAAUUUGGUGCGCCGGGGAAGCAGAACUAUUACCUUGAAAAAAUUAGAGUGCAUAAAGCAGGCAAGUGCCUGAAUAGGUUAGCAUGGAAUAAUAAAAUAGGACGGCAUGGUUCUAUUUUGUUGGUUUCUAGGAUCACCGUAAUGAUUAAUAGGGAUAGUUGGGGGCAUUAGUAUUCAAUUGUCAGAGGUGAAAUUCUUGGAUUUAUUGAAGACUAACUUCUGCGAAAGCAUUUGCCAAGGAUGUUUUCAUUAAUCAAGAACGAAAGUUAGGGGAUCGAAGACGAUCAGAUACCGUCGUAGUCUUAACCAUAAACUAUGCCGACUAGGGAUCGGACGAUGUUAAUUUUUUAAUGACUCGUUCGGCGCCUUACGGGAAAC
This 551-nucleotide ribosomal RNA is filed under the name uncultured Acaulospora. Its description in RNAcentral is "SSU rRNA". It matches the Rfam family "Eukaryotic small subunit ribosomal RNA", at positions 548 to 1098 of the family's 1831-position model. The record is from RNAcentral. Lineage: Eukaryota; Fungi; Glomeromycota; Glomeromycetes; Diversisporales; Acaulosporaceae.